GAUGAACGCUGGCGGCGUGCCUAAUACAUGCAAGUCGAGCGAACAGACGAGGAGCUUGCUCCUCUGACGUUAGCGGCGGACGGGUGAGUAACACGUGGAUAACCUACCUAUAAGACUGGGAUAACUUCGGGAAACCGGAGCUAAUACCGGAUAAUAUAUUGAACCGCAUGGUUCAAUAGUGAAAGACGGUUUUGCUGUCACUUAUAGAUGGAUCCGCGCCGCAUUAGCUAGUUGGUAAGGUAACGGCUUACCAAGGCAACGAUGCGUAGCCGACCUGAGAGGGUGCUCGCCCACACGGAAACGGAGACACGGCCAACACUCCUAGGGGGGGAGGCGGGAGGAAAUCUCCCGCAGGGGGCGAAAGUUUGACGGAGCAGCGCCGCGGGAGUGAUGAUGUUUUUCGGAUCUAAAAACUUUUUUAUGGGGGAAAAAAAAAUGUGAAAGUAAUUAGCCACGUCUUGACGUAACCUAAUAAGAAAGCCCCGGCUAACUACGUG
This 497-nucleotide ribosomal RNA is filed under the name uncultured bacterium. RNAcentral describes it as "partial 16S ribosomal RNA". It matches the Rfam family "Bacterial small subunit ribosomal RNA", at positions 28 to 507 of the family's 1533-position model. The record is from RNAcentral.